This is a long non-coding RNA of Bubalus bubalis (water buffalo), 938 nucleotides long. RefSeq lists it as uncharacterized. The record is from RefSeq and is a predicted model, not a curated record. The transcript has 3 exons. NCBI's taxonomy places the organism in Eukaryota, Metazoa, Chordata, Mammalia, Artiodactyla, Bovidae.
CUCCUCUGUCUGUGUGACCCCAUGGACUGUGGCCCAUCAGGCUCCUCUGUCCAUGGGAUUUCCCAGGCAAGAAAACUGGAGUGGGUGGCCAUUUCCUCCUCUAGGGGAUCUUCUCGACCCAGGGAUCUGAACGACAUCUCCUGAGUUUCCUUCCAUUGGCAGGGGGAGCCUUUACCACUGCACCACCUGGGAAGCCCCUGACUAAGGACAACUGCUGGCAAUUAUCCAGAUGAUUCCAAUGGGGAGUGGAACAGCAGGCAGACAAGGUUCUCAGCCUUCUCUGGGGCUAACUUCAUGAUCAAUCUUUGGACAAAGAGCAGAUGCUCCAUGAUCUACAACCAGAGGAUUAACACCAGCUUAUAGUCACUCAACAAACUAAGUCAGACGACAAGUUUGUUUCUUCUAGAAUACAAAUAAAAUCUCCAGAUGCUGAUGCAACAAGCUGGUUGACACAUGGACCUCACGAGAACAAGCGGCUUUCUCAUUCCACAGACGCUCAUCUCUCUCCAAAAAUGCACCCUGACAGUGUGGGCAUUGGGACCAGGACCCCACGACCCUCCUGUCCAGCAGGAAGAAGCCAGAGCAGUUUCUGCCCCUUUCCCCAAUGACUCGGGUCCCCACAUCGCAAGAGAGGAUAGGCAGGUAGUUAGACAUGAGCAGGGUAUAAAGGGGCCAAAGAUUUGGCCCAUUAAUAAGAGGGGGGAACACUGAAUCCUGCCCCAGGGCACAGGUGUGAGGUCUUGCACCAAGGCCACAGAAGCAGAGCCCAGAACCAAAGUCACCUCGAAAGCUGACUGUCCCACUUUAUAACUGUUGCCAAAAACCCCCUGCUGCUGCUGCUGCUGCUGCUGCUGCUAAGUCACUUCAGUCAUGUCUGACUCUGUGCAACCCAACGGACAGCAGCCCACCAGGCUCCCCCGUCCCUGGGAUCCUCCAGG